UUAAGCAUAUUAGUAAGCAGAGGAAUUUCAUCAAACAUGGAUUUUGUAAGUAGUUGCGAAUGAACACAAACUUGAUCAACUUGAAAAUCUUUGUGCACAUGCGUACAAUGAUUUGUUUCAUUGCACAUUGCUAUCAAAGCUGCAUGCAAGUGAUUUUUGAAAGGAUACAACAUGGGAUGUGACAUUCAUGUCUGUGUGCUGGCUUUGCUUACAGCAAUGUGCUCUAUGAAUUCACAUUUCUUGCAAACUGAAAAUGCAAAUCGCAUGGUAAAGCUCAUGUGAUGUGAUAUGUGAUUGAGAUUCAUGAUGUGCAAGUACCAUGAGGGAAAUGUGAAAAGGACUUUGAAAAGAAAAUUAAACAAAGCCUGCAAUUGCUGGUUGUAAACGUAAGUGAGGAUGCUCUCUGUAAUGUUAUUGCAUCAGGUGACAUCCAUACAUGUUGUUGAAUGCUUAACAUUAUUUAUUGCACCACUGAGUGUGCGUACCAGCUCUGAUUUGACUGCUUUCACAUGGAACAGCUAAAUGGAUGCAUGUGUGCACUUGUGUGUAGCUAUGUUAAUCACCAGCAGUAAU
Molecule: ribosomal RNA, 573 nt
Filed under: Ostreopsis rhodesiae
Lineage: Eukaryota; Dinophyceae; Peridiniales; Ostreopsidaceae
Description: LSU rRNA
Rfam family: Eukaryotic large subunit ribosomal RNA
Source: RNAcentral